UUUCCGUAGGUGAACCUGCGGAAGGAUCAUUAACGAGUUAGGGUCUUCCAGGCCCGACCUCCCAACCCUAUGUUUAUUGAACCUCUGUUGCUUCGGCGGACCCGCCUCACGGCCGCCGGAGGACCGCUGCAAGGCGUCCUCUGGCCAGCGUCCGCCGAUGGCCAACCACUUAAACUCUGAAUGAAUCGUGUCAUAUGUCUAAGUCUAUGAUCAAAUUAAAGCAAAACUUUCAACAACGGAUCUCUUGGUUCUG
This 253-nucleotide unclassified non-coding RNA is filed under the name plant metagenome. RNAcentral describes it as "partial contains small subunit ribosomal RNA, internal transcribed spacer 1, and 5.8S ribosomal RNA". The record is from RNAcentral.